AUGGGAUUCCAUCAUACCUCAUGUCAAUGUUUCUUUUCAAUAAAACCUUUAUUGAAAAGAUGGAUAAACACCGUAGACGAUUCUUCUGGAGGAGGAAGAACAAGAAACAUGGUUAUCAUAUGGUUAAAUGGGCGAGAGUUUGUCGAUCUAAGAAGAUUGGAGGGUUGGGUGUUAAAGAUCUUCAUAAGCAGAAUGUAG
Molecule: ribosomal RNA, 198 nt
Filed under: Triticum aestivum (bread wheat)
Lineage: Eukaryota; Viridiplantae; Streptophyta; Magnoliopsida; Poales; Poaceae
Description: partial small subunit ribosomal RNA
Source: RNAcentral